AGUACAGCUUCCACAGGAGCAAGGGAUGUCUGAGCACAAGUGGCUGAGUUCCGAGUGACUUUAUGAAGCACUUUCUACCUUCCUCUCCGGCAUGAAAACAGGGAUUCUGCACCUGCAUCAUGGACAGUCUGGCAAAAGCCUCUGCUCUGCCUCCGGGGACAAGAAACUAGAGCAAAUAACCGUUUUGAAAUUAGAUCCUGGCAAAAUUACCAACAAUCAAUGAUGGAAACUGAAGGGAGAUUGAUUUAAAUCUUCAAUGACAGUUGUACAGAAGUUGAAGAAACACGUCAUCUUUCCAAAGAAGAGUGAGUAGCUUGGUUGGUGGUACCCUAAAAUUAGGGCAUGAUUAAGUUAUUUAUUACUCACAGUUCUGUAGUUUUAACCAGAACAAAGGGAUUACCCAGAAGAAAAGAAGGUAAGCUAUUUCAUCAGUUUUGGUGGAAAUCAGAAGUUUUUUUUUCUAUUAUUAGCUUUGUAUUCUUAAAAAAGAAAAAAGAAGGAGAAAAAAAAUCUCAUCUUCUCAUUUAUAAGAAUUCCCAUAAAAUUUGGCAGUGGUGAGGUGGGGAGGAAAUGCAUUAUCAAUAAACAGCUAGAUCCUAUUAUUGGAGACAAUCAGUUUUAUUCUGCAGAAAAUAUAGUUUGUUCUUGAAGAUUUAAUAGAUAUAAUAUUUUUUAAACCAACAUAUUAAAUAUACCAGUAAAUAUUUUUGUUAAACAAGGCUUUUAAAAUUUAAAUUAUACCCCUAAACUGGCUUUCUAGUUUUUCUGGAGAAAUAAAGAAAUUUUAAAGGAAAUAUCCACUCAGAUUAAUACUGCAAAUAUCAUACAAAAAUGUGUGUGGUGAUAUUACUGAAAAUGAGGAUUUUUGAAAACUAGAAGAGCAAAAAGUCGUUGCUCCAAAAGGCUUCAAGACUGCCUUAGGAUUAACAAUGCAAGUCUUCAAUGUAUUUAGGUAAUCAUAAUUUGAUUAGCUUUCUAAACCUAAACAUAUUUUGAUUCAAAUGUUUAAAAUAUGGUCAUCUCUUCAGUUAAAGAUGAACAUUUUGAUGAAAUAACAAUACUUAAAGCGUUCUCCGUCUCCACAAUUAAGUGCUACCUGUUAUUUAUUCAGAGCAUAUGUUUCAGUCUCAAAACACCAAGGACACAUCUCAGUGAAAUAAAAAUAA
Molecule: long non-coding RNA, 1166 nt
Organism: Homo sapiens (human)
Lineage: Eukaryota; Metazoa; Chordata; Mammalia; Primates; Hominidae
Gene: MIR181A1HG
Product: MIR181A1 host gene
Source: Ensembl